UUUUUUUUUUUUUUUUAGCAAUUUGCGAAAAGAAAAUGAUUUGCUUGUUGAUACUGAACUAUGAAAUCCUAAGUUCAAAUAUUAGAGACUAUUAUAUCAUUUUUUUUUUUGUAUUUAGCAAAUUCUAUUCGUUUAUUCGACUCAAGAAAAUAAAAAAAAUCAACACUAAUCCACAAAACUAAGCUCUUAUAUUCGACAAUGUUCAUCCUUUUUUAUUCUAUAAAUCUACUGUGUUACUAGCACAAGCCAACAUACCAAUAAAGGAAAAGCUAGCAAUAUUUCCCUAAUACUGUUAACACAUACUCUAUUCUCACAAAAAUUUGCUUUCCUAUAAAUAUGCGGAAUUUUCACAAUCAAAUCUCAAUUUAUGGACUCUUUCUAGCAUUUUAGUAUUUAAUCAUUUGAAUUACUGCUCUUAUAAUAUAUAUGUAUAUUGAGAAUCCCAGUUUUUAUUUAUAAAAUUAUAAUUUAUAAAUUUUAUAAAAUUAAUCUAAAAAUUGUAUUUACCAAACAUUUUAAAUUAAUAGUUAAAAAUCUAAAUAUGAAUUUCGACUACUCAAUCAAGGAGAUUAUGUAAUUUUGGUAAAUUAUUAUUUGUCUUCUGAGAUUAUGUCAUUCAUUAUCAC
RNAcentral lists this unclassified non-coding RNA (626 nucleotides) under Hevea brasiliensis (rubber tree). Lineage: Eukaryota; Viridiplantae; Streptophyta; Magnoliopsida; Malpighiales; Euphorbiaceae. The record is from RNAcentral.